CACGCAGGCGGUUUUUUAAGUCAGAUGUGAAAGGUACCGGCUCAACCGGUGACAUGCAUUUGAAACUGAAGGACUUGAGUAUUGGAGAGGCAAGUGGAAUUCCUAGUGUAGCGGUGAAAUGCGUAGAUAUUAGGAGGAACACCGGUGGCGAAGGCGGCUUGCUAGACAAAUACUGACGCUGAGGUGCGAAAGCGUGGGGAGCAAACA
This 207-nucleotide ribosomal RNA is filed under the name uncultured bacterium. RNAcentral describes it as "partial 16S ribosomal RNA". It matches the Rfam family "Bacterial small subunit ribosomal RNA", at positions 568 to 774 of the family's 1533-position model. The record is from RNAcentral.